Molecule: long non-coding RNA, 1081 nt
Organism: Cyprinus carpio carpio
Lineage: Eukaryota; Metazoa; Chordata; Actinopteri; Cypriniformes; Cyprinidae
Source: Ensembl
ACACAUACAACUCUGCAUGCAACGCAAUUAUCAUGGAAUAAUGUCAAACAUUACAAUUCACCACUGCGCAGAUGACAAAAGUAGUUUUUAUGAAGUGAAGAUAUGAAUUAUUUUAAGUUCAGGUUGCGUCACAAUUCUCUCUCUAUGCAUCCUCUGCUGUCUUUACUGGUACGCCAACUAACGACCCGACAACCGCGAAAACAAACAGCAGUAAGAUGGCCGACUCCCGCGCGCGGCAGGAAUAUCUGACAUUCGUUUGUUCCAUCGCCGUCGCUCCGAGCGACAGAGGCCAAUUACUGCAGCAGCCGCGUGACCUUUAGCAUGCAGAUGAGCCACACAGCGCACGUGCUAUGUGUGUGUGGCCGGUAAAUAUUAACGGGAACGGAAGAGCGGAGCCAUAAUGACGCGCGGAUCGUUAGAGGCUCGUUAGGGACCACGAGACGGAGGAUAUUAAAGAGCAACCCCAGGAAGAACAUGGAAGCUAAUGGAGAUCCAAAAGAAAAAACAAAAUAUUCAGUUGAAAAUAGCAAAAAUCAGUCUUGCAAUCUGGCCACCUGGUUUAACGAAGAACAUCUCAUGAAUUAUUCCACCGGACUACACUUGGAAUCUCCCGCCUUGCUCUCCAAAUCCUUGCUCGCAUCUUGCGUCUCUUUUAAAACUUUAUUUCCUCCACUUUUCUUCACCUCUAAUCCCCAUUAGCCUCAUUUUCAGCAAUGGACCGAAUACCUCUACCAGUGUUUUUGUUAAAAAUGACUAAAAGUUUCCUGUUUACCAUUUUGGGUGUGCCGUCUGAGAUCUUCCAUCGCUGGCACAUACACAAAAGCCGAACGAACGGCUCACAACAGUCUAUAAAAGUGUUAACCCCGAGCAGACAAAGAGAAAUGGAGUGUGUAGCAGAGAAGAGAGAAAUCAUAAGUGUCUCGGAGAUUUACUCGGUGUGUGUGUUUGGUCAGCUCUCAGCAGACCUGUUUGAUGUGAAUCUCCGAUCGGGUUUCUUUUCAUGUACACACAAAUGCAGCUGGCACACACACUCGUGCAUCACUGCGGCUUUGAAGGCAGCAGAUGCGGAGUUCUGACGGAG